This 250-nucleotide ribosomal RNA is filed under the name uncultured bacterium. RNAcentral describes it as "partial 16S ribosomal RNA". It matches the Rfam family "Bacterial small subunit ribosomal RNA", at positions 355 to 597 of the family's 1533-position model. The record is from RNAcentral.
UCGAGAAUCUUUCGCAAUGGGCGCAAGCCUGACGAAGCGACGCCGUGUGAGCGAAGAAGGCCUUCGGGUUGUAAAGCUCUUUCGCUAGGGAACAAGAGAGUUUAGUGAAUAACUAGAUGAUUUGAUGGUACUUGGUAAAGAAGCACCGGCUAACUCCGUGCCAGCAGCUGCGGUAAUACGGAGGGUGCAAGCAUUGAUCGGAAUUACUGGGCGUAAAGGGCGCGUAGGCGGCCGUAAAAGUCAGAUGUGA